GCUUCAUAAUUGUUUUCUGCUGGAGGGUUUUUUCCAUACAAGUGACUCCAUCACAGCCAGAAGCAGAAGUUACCACACAAUGUUGUAAAUGCCUGUGUCCCCAAGGGGACCAUUGGACCCUCAGGGCCAGGGACUGAGUCCCCUUCCCUCUGUGUACACGCUGCCUCGCCAGGAAGUCUCCUCCGAGCUCAAGGCUGGGCUGGGCCCCACUACCAGCCACCCUACCUCGAGUGCUCGUUCAGCGACUGCCUUUGCUCUGAUUAUCAGUCUCCCCACUGGAUUGCGAGCAAUUUGAGGGCAAGAAGGGGCCAUGAUCAAAGGCACAGGCCUCCGGGAAAGAACAGAAGCAGAACAUCAGGGCAAAGACGGCGCUGGGCACUCUGCUCACGUAAUCGCACCUGCCUCUCCCGUGUGUUGGCAAAAUGAUUCCCUCUGCUUCGUCCGUGAGGAGAGUGAGGCACAGAGGAUUUAGUCGUCGGCCGCAUCUGAAGUGAUAGAGCUGGGACCGGGCCCGAGGCGCCCUGACCCUGAGCUCACAGGUUUGGCUGCCAGGCUGCAUGGCCUCCUGGUGCACCUGCAGGAAAGGCUCCUGCGCCCUCCUACCUGGGGUCACAUUUCUGAGAAUGUGAUUGGCGUUUAGUUUGUGGCUCUCCCCUGCUCCAUCCUGACAGCCCCCCACCCCUGGUCUCCUGGCCUCCAGGCUCCCCUCUCUCUCACCCAGUGUCAGCCACACGGCCACCGUGACCCCACCGAGUCACUCCCCUGCAGUGGUCAGUGGCUCCAGGGAUGGAAGCAAUCUGAACUUCUCCAGGCCUUCACAACGGAGCUCAUUCCUCAUCCCACCUGCUCACAGCAACAUGCACACACGUGUACACAUACGUGUGUGUGCAUAUACAGACACACGUGCAUACACCUGUGUGCAUGCGUGCAUACGCACGCAACCACACACACAACCGCUCAUCCCCCGGACCGCAGUGAACCACCUCCGGUUUCCAGGGAGUGCCCCUGCACUCCCUACCCUCCACCUUCCUCCGGGCUCGGCUCCACCUGUCACUCACCUGCUAACAGCCCCAAGUUCCUACCCAGCCAACAAGAUGGAAGCAGACAGCAGACGGCAGACCCCACUCAAUGCCCUCUCCUUGCUUUACUGAGAGAGCCCUGACAUUGUCCUGGGGACCACGUGCCAGGUUGAAAUCCCCUUUGCAGUGAGAGUGGCCACAGGGCCCCCUCGGAAGGCGACUCCGUGGGGCUCCUGAGCACGCCGUUUCUUGCUGAUGGGAAGCACUGACUCCGCCGACCUUCUGCUUCUUGACCUUCACCCUUCCCCUCCUUCCUGCCCGGACUGCAAACCCAAAGCCUAGAGACAGAGCUGCCGGCUUGUGACAGUGAGGACGAAUGCCGCGCUCUAGAGAUGGUAGAGCAGAAAGCUAGAAGGAGCCUCCUCUGUGACCCCUUCUCAAGGGGCUGCUCCAGCCCUGGGCUGCCUCCUUCCAGGCUUCCUGUUUUGUGAGUAAGAUAAACCCCUACUGGUUAAGCCACUAUGGUUCGUGGCUGGUACGUGCAGCCAAUGGAAAGCCUAAUUGGCACAAAGACCAGUUCAUGGGACACCUCCUCCAGCAAGCCUUCCUGGAUUUCCCUGGCAGGUUCAAUCUGGGGCUCUGUGUUCUCACACAAGCUUGGCUCUUUCCUCAUCUCACUUAACACCCAUUGUCUCUCCAGAGAACCAG
RNAcentral lists this long non-coding RNA (1727 nucleotides) under Equus caballus (horse). RNAcentral describes it as "lncRNA (ENSECAG00000051930.1)". Lineage: Eukaryota; Metazoa; Chordata; Mammalia; Perissodactyla; Equidae. The record is from RNAcentral.